This 87-nucleotide transfer RNA is filed under the name Syntrophobacterales bacterium. RNAcentral's name for it is "tRNA-Leu". It matches the Rfam family "tRNA". Rfam says of the family: Transfer RNA (tRNA) molecules are approximately 80 nucleotides in length. Their secondary structure includes four short double-helical elements and three loops (D, anti-codon, and T loops). Further hydrogen bonds mediate the characteristic L-shaped molecular structure. tRNAs have two regions of fundamental functional importance: the anti-codon, which is responsible for specific mRNA codon recognition, and the 3' end, to which the tRNAs corresponding amino acid is attached (by aminoacyl-tRNA synthetases). tRNAs cope with the degeneracy of the genetic code in two manners: having more than one tRNA (with a specific anti-codon) for a particular amino acid; and 'wobble' base-pairing, i.e. permitting non-standard base-pairing at the 3rd anti-codon position. Lineage: Bacteria; Pseudomonadati; Thermodesulfobacteriota; Syntrophobacteria; Syntrophobacterales. The record is from RNAcentral.
GCCGAAGUGGUGGAACUUGGUAGACACGCUAUCUUGAGGGGGUAGUGGGGAACACCCGUCCGGGUUCAAGUCCCGGCUUCGGCACCA